CCUUCCAUAAUUUGAAGCUGGCUCCUUCGGGGUCCGCAUUGUAAUUUGCAGAGGAUGCUUCGGGUGCGGCCCCUGUCUAAGUGCCCUGGAACGGGCCGUCAGAGAGGGUGAGAAUCCCGUCUGGGAUGGGGUGUCCGCGCCCGUGUGAAGCUCCUUCGACGAGUCGAGUUGUUUGGGAAUGCAGCUCUAAAUGGGUGGUAAAUUUCAUCUAAAGCUAAAUACUGGCCGGAGACCGAUAGCGAACAAGA
Molecule: ribosomal RNA, 248 nt
Filed under: Trichophyton eriotrephon
Lineage: Eukaryota; Fungi; Ascomycota; Eurotiomycetes; Onygenales; Arthrodermataceae
Description: partial large subunit ribosomal RNA
Rfam family: Eukaryotic large subunit ribosomal RNA
Source: RNAcentral